UUCUCUUCAGAUCAUAUAAAUCUGUUGCCUUUUACUAGAGAUUUCUGUGGAGAGGA
This is a small nuclear RNA of 56 nucleotides. Its record names the gene U5. It matches the Rfam family "U5 spliceosomal RNA". Rfam says of the family: U5 RNA is a component of both types of known spliceosome. The precise function of this molecule is unknown, though it is known that the 5' loop is required for splice site selection and p220 binding, and that both the 3' stem-loop and the Sm site are important for Sm protein binding and cap methylation. The record is from Ensembl.